RNAcentral lists this unclassified non-coding RNA (266 nucleotides) under Melitaea cinxia (Glanville fritillary). RNAcentral's name for it is "misc RNA ENSMCXG00005001284.1". The record is from RNAcentral. Lineage: Eukaryota; Metazoa; Arthropoda; Insecta; Lepidoptera; Nymphalidae.
GUACAAAAAUUUCGACUUCGACUGAUUCGGUGCGAGCCAUUAACUAUUCGUGGUCUUCACGAUAACUACAAACGUCUAAAAUGAUUGAGGGACCUUCAAAGAGGUUUGUAGUGAAAAGACUUUCGUUUGUAGUUGAAUAAAACUUACAGAAAAUUUAAGUGAGACCCGCGGGAGUACAAAAAUUUCGACUUCGACUGAUUCGGUGCGAGCCAUUAACUAUUCGUGGUCUUCACGAUAACUACAAACGUCUAAAAUGAUUGAGGGAC